This 332-nucleotide ribosomal RNA is filed under the name Vreelandella aquamarina. RNAcentral describes it as "bacterial SSU rRNA". It matches the Rfam family "Bacterial small subunit ribosomal RNA", at positions 79 to 420 of the family's 1533-position model. Lineage: Bacteria; Pseudomonadati; Pseudomonadota; Gammaproteobacteria; Oceanospirillales; Halomonadaceae. The record is from RNAcentral.
UGCUGGAUGCUGACGAGCGGCGGACGGGUGAGUAAUGCAUAGGAAUCUGCCCGAUAGUGGGGGAUAACCUGGGGAAACCCAGGCUAAUACCGCAUACGUCCUACGGGAGAAAGGGGGCUCCGGCUCCCGCUAUGGGAUGAGCCUAUGUCGGAUUAGCUAGUUGGUGAGGUAACGGCUCACCAAGGCCACGAUCCGUAGCUGGUCUGAGAGGAUGAUCAUCCACAUCGGGACUGAGACACGGCCCGAACUCCUACGGGAGGCAGCAGUGGGGAAUAUUGGACAAUGGGGGAAACCCUGAUCCUGCCAUGUCGCGUGUGUGAAGAAGGGCCUCG